AACGAACGCUGGCGGCAUGCCUAACACAUACAAGUCGAACGAGAUCUUCGGGUCUAGUGGCGCACGGGUGCGCAACGCGUGGGAAUCUGCCCUUUGGUUCGGAAUAACAGUUGGAAACGACUGCUAAUACCGGAUGAUGACGAAAGUCCAAAGAUUUAUCGCCAGAGGAUGAGCCCGCGUAGGAUUAGCUAGUUGGUGUGGUAAAGGCGCACCAAGGCGACGAUCCUUAGCUGGUCUGAGAGGAUGAUCAGCCACACUGGGACUGAGACACGGCCCAGACUCCUACGGGAGGCAGCAGUGGGGAAUAUUGGACAAUGGGCGAAAGCCUGAUCCAGCAAUGCCGCGUGAGUGAUGAAGGCCUUAGGGUUGUAAAGCUCUUUUACCCGGGAUGAUAAUGACAGUACCGGGAGAAUAAGCUCCGGCUAACUCCGUGCCAGCCGCCGCGGUAA
RNAcentral lists this ribosomal RNA (449 nucleotides) under uncultured bacterium. Its description in RNAcentral is "partial 16S ribosomal RNA". It matches the Rfam family "Bacterial small subunit ribosomal RNA", at positions 29 to 523 of the family's 1533-position model. The record is from RNAcentral.